UCUGGCUUUCUUCGCAAUGUCUAUUCAAAAUAAAGUUUCUCCUCAAUAAAUAUUCCAUUCAAUUAAUUUAUUCCCGCAUGAAAAAUGGAACAGAUUCUUCAGUGGAAAUUCAUUUUUUUAAAGACUUGAAUCCCCGUUCUUUCUCUCUGCAAUUAAAUCUGAAUGCUCCCCUUGAUUAUUUUAUUCCUCCUAUGAUUCAUGAUUCAUAUUUAGGCCUCGAUUCUCCUCUCGCGGUAAUAAACACAUUUUUCAGUCUGAUCACGCAGUGAUUGCAUGGACAAUCCAACAAAGGGCGUAUGGUACAUCCCACACCCAGAAAAAUAAGGAGAUAAUCGUGCAUUGGCACUCUGGAUGAUUAAAAAGCCUUGGAUAAAUAUUAAAAAAUUGGUAGGCUGCCAAAAAAAACAGUAAACAAUGAUGUAGGUCAUUUGAAUUAUUACACGCUAAAUAAAAAAUUCAUUUCCUCAGCCCAUGUUUGUCCAUCGCUUCAGCUACAUCUUCAGUUAAUUAUUCAAUUAUUGAUAGCUCCAAUUUAUCAAUUGCUCUUUAUUACAGAAUGUUUGUCUCUUUUCACAGCGAUUUAUUACCGAUGAUAACAGCGUUUCAGUGGUUUUGCGUCGAUUCUACUGGAAUCGAGGUGAUUUAUCGAGACAAUCGUCGGGCCUUGAAAUUAAUAUUGAUAAAAUUUAUAGGAAUAUCGACACUGGAGAAAUUCGAGAGAAGGUGAAGGUUCGGCAGAGAAAUAAUAAUUUUUUUUUGGGGAAAAAAGUGUCGGGACAUCAUUCUCCAAAUAAACACAUGCCAAAGUGCACAGAAUAUUCUGAUCGGAAGACGGGAUCUGAUGCUGACGAAAAAAUUCCGUGAGAAUACAUUUUUCGGUGAUUACAGGGCUGCAGGCCCUUGAGCAAUUCCAUCAGAUGUCCGGCUUGCGUGGAGAAAAAAAUUUCACGAAAAUUACCAUCAAAUGACGUAAUGACUUUUCCCCAAAAAAUUUCAAGAAUUCCAGUGAAAUUCGCGGGAUUCAAGCAAGAAAUUUUAUUAUUACCCAUUAUCUAAUGCAAAAUGUAAUAUGAUAUAAUAGAAUAGAAAUUAGAUUCAAUUAUAUAUUUUCCUUCUUUUAAUUUUUGCAAGUUUUGAAAGGGCGGGGAAAAUUUUUUGAUUAAUAAUUGCAAGUGGAGAUUCUUCAAUAUUAUUAACAACAGUUGUUCAUGUUGACUAUUCAUCUUUCCUUUCAUGUGACUGGAAUCGUGCCAA
Molecule: long non-coding RNA, 1254 nt
Organism: Fopius arisanus
Lineage: Eukaryota; Metazoa; Arthropoda; Insecta; Hymenoptera; Braconidae
Exons: 3
Source: RefSeq, a predicted model, not a curated record